ACUUAGUGGCGGACGGGUGAGUAACGCGUGGGUAACCUGCCCUGUACAGGGGGACAACAGCUGGAAACGGCUGCUAAUACCGCAUAAGCCCUUAGCACUGCACGGUGCAUAGGGAAAAGGAGUAAUCCGGUACAGGAUGGACCCGCGUCUGAUUAGCCAGUUGGCAGGGUAACGGCCUACCAAAGCGACGAUCAGUAGCCGAUCUGAGAGGAUGUACGGCCACAUUGGGACUGAGACACGGCCCAGACUCCUACGGGAGGCAGCAGUGGGGAAUAUUGCACAAUGGAGGAAACUCUGAUGCAGCGACGCCGCGUGAGUGAAGAAGUAUUUCGGUAUGUAAAGCUCUAUCAGCAGGGAAGAAAAUGACGGUACCUGACUAAGAAGCACCGGCUAAAUACGUGCCAGCAGCCGCGGUAAUACGUAUGGUGCAAGCGUUAUCCGGAUUUACUGGGUGUAAAGGGAGCGUAGGUGGCAAGGCAAGCCAGAAGUGAAAACCCGGGGCUCAACCGCGGGAUUGCUUUUGGAACUGUCAUGCUAGAGUGCAGGAGGGGUGAGCGGAAUUCCUAGUGUAGCGGUGAAAUGCGUAGAUAUUAGGAGGAACACCGGAGGCGAAGGCGGCUCACUGGACUGUAACUGACACUGAGGCUCGAAAGCG
RNAcentral lists this ribosomal RNA (655 nucleotides) under uncultured Lachnospiraceae bacterium. RNAcentral describes it as "bacterial SSU rRNA". It matches the Rfam family "Bacterial small subunit ribosomal RNA", at positions 90 to 761 of the family's 1533-position model. Lineage: Bacteria; Bacillati; Bacillota; Clostridia; Lachnospirales; Lachnospiraceae. The record is from RNAcentral.